Pelobates cultripes (western spadefoot toad) is the source of this 210-nucleotide non-coding RNA. The record is from the annotation of a GenBank genome assembly. NCBI's taxonomy places the organism in Eukaryota, Metazoa, Chordata, Amphibia, Anura, Pelobatidae.
GUUGGCAAUUGCCCUCAGGAUGUUUUGGGUUUAAAUGAUGGUGGUCCACAAUGGGAAUCUAUUUAUCCACACAAAUGCUGAUGCUAAAUAGCCUUGGGCAUUUGUAAAAGGCUUUGGGAAGCCGAGCUGUCAAUCAUACCAAUAAUGGUGUCCACAAAGCAGAUCAGUAAUUGACAGUUCCGACUCCCAGGAGGUUCCCCAGCAGCUGAG